Long non-coding RNA from Patella vulgata (common limpet), 1352 nucleotides. RefSeq lists it as uncharacterized. The transcript has 4 exons. The record is from RefSeq and is a predicted model, not a curated record. NCBI's taxonomy places the organism in Eukaryota, Metazoa, Mollusca, Gastropoda, Patellidae.
CGAUGCCAAACGCCGCUAGAGGCGCUGGCUGUCCUAUUAUUGGUGUGCUAAAAAACCUGACCGAAAAAUGUACCGUUUCUACUACGGGGUCUCAUGAAUAUUCAGGAAGUCAAAACGUGGUCACGUGGCACUUUUCCGGAACCUGGUGAGCUAAAGUUAGCGGACUGCCAUAGCAGCUUAUAUUUACUAUGGAAGAAGAGUAUUCACAACCAUUAUUCAUAACAGAUUCUGAGGAGAGUGAAAAAGAAAUUGGAGAAAGUGAAUCUCAAGCACAGACGCAAGCUCCAAGAUUCAUGCCACUUUUCACUCCACGCUUUAGUUCUGAGAAUACAGAUUCUGAUGACCAAAGUUUAAAAAUUCCAGAAAAGGUUGCAAGAUUGGACACACAGUUAACCUUUUCUGCAUCAACAUCAGAAUUUGAUUCAAGCCCGAAAAUAUUACGGAAAAAAGUAAAGAAACCAAAACGUGACCAGAACACAAAAGAAUGUCAAACUAUAAUCGUCGGUGAAAUAUUUGCUAACACUAAAAACAUGAUUAUGAGUGAUGAUAUCCAAGUCAAACGAGAUGAUAAUUUAAAUGUAGGAACACAAACUGUUAUAUCUGGACCAUUUAUGCUUUAUUCCCAAAACUUGUAUUUUAAUUUUUAAUUACUAAUAUGAUCAUGUAAUCAAAUCCCCCAAUUAUAAUCCUCAUGUCUUUUUGUGUCAAUCUUGGAUUUACUGUCCAGGCUGCAUUUUCUGACAGUAAGCCCAAGAUUAGAAAUUUGACUAAUGGGGCAGUCUUGGAGCUUUUUGAACAUGGUAGGUCUGUGAAUGCAAAAACUAUGGAUGUGAUUCAUAUAAUGUGUGAAAUUUGUGAUGUUAAAGACGCCAAUAUUACUGGGUGUAGAUCUAAGGUUUACAGGAUGAUUGACGCAGAUAAGAAAAAGCGAGCUGAAGUUCGAGAUUCAUAUAGGAAUCAAAUAUUUCAUUUUCCGUCUUCUGUUCCAACAUUAAGCACUACAGAAUCAACGACAGAGUUAAAACAGUCAAAAGAUGUUUCAGAGAGUAAGAUAGAGGAACUGCGAAACAUAAAAGAAGCAAACAGAAUGCUUAAAAGAAAAGUUACACGUAGGGAGGACUCCUUAGAGAAGAAAGUAGCUGCAAAGACUCGAAAACUAGAAAAAAUUACUGAAUCAACUCAACAGAAGUUAAAGAAAUCAGAGGAGUCAUUGAAACAAAAGACUGAGAUUCUCGAAAAGAAAAGGCAAAAGCACAGUCAAGACAUUUUUAGCUUUAGACAGUUAAAUAAUUAUGUUAAAACCCUGAAAAAACAUAUCGAUGGUGUUAAUGUAGUGCUUAAAGAAAGAUCUC